CACCGCCCGUCACACCACGAGAGUUUGUAACACCCGAAGCCGGUGGAGUAACCAUUUGGAGCUAGCCGUCGAAGGUGGGACAAAUGAUUGGGGUGAAGUCGUAACAAGGUAGCCGUAUCGGAAGGUGCGGCUGGAUCACCUCCUUUCUAAGGA
This 153-nucleotide ribosomal RNA is filed under the name Campylobacter jejuni. RNAcentral's name for it is "partial 16S ribosomal RNA". It matches the Rfam family "Bacterial small subunit ribosomal RNA", at positions 1388 to 1533 of the family's 1533-position model. The record is from RNAcentral. Lineage: Bacteria; Pseudomonadati; Campylobacterota; Epsilonproteobacteria; Campylobacterales; Campylobacteraceae.